Molecule: ribosomal RNA, 482 nt
Filed under: Streptococcus sp. oral taxon 058
Lineage: Bacteria; Bacillati; Bacillota; Bacilli; Lactobacillales; Streptococcaceae
Description: bacterial SSU rRNA
Rfam family: Bacterial small subunit ribosomal RNA
Source: RNAcentral
GACGAACGCUGGCGGCGUGCCUAAUACAUGCAAGUAGAACGCUGAAGGAGGAGCUUGCUUCUCUGGAUGAGUUGCGAACGGGUGAGUAACGCGUAGGUAACCUGCCUGGUAGCGGGGGAUAACUAUUGGAAACGAUAGCUAAUACCGCAUAAUAUUGACUAUUGCAUGAUAGUUGAUUAAAAGGUGCAAUUGCACCACUACCAGAUGGACCUGCGUUGUAUUAGCUAGUUGGUGGGGUAACGGCUCACCAAGGCGACGAUACAUAGCCGACCUGAGAGGGUGAUCGGCCACACUGGGACUGAGACACGGCCCAGACUCCUACGGGAGGCAGCAGUAGGGAAUCUUCGGCAAUGGACGGAAGUCUGACCGAGCAACGCCGCGUGAGUGAAGAAGGUUUUCGGAUCGUAAAGCUCUGUUGUAAGAGAAGAACGAGUGUGAGAGUGGAAAGUUCACACUGUGACGGUAUCUUACCAGAAAGGGAC